This 189-nucleotide ribosomal RNA is filed under the name uncultured bacterium. RNAcentral describes it as "partial 16S ribosomal RNA". It matches the Rfam family "Bacterial small subunit ribosomal RNA", at positions 338 to 524 of the family's 1533-position model. The record is from RNAcentral.
CCUACGGGAGGCAGCAGUGAGGAAUAUUGGUCAAUGGGCGCGAGCCUGAACCAGCCAAGUAGCGUGCAGGAAGACUGCCCUAUGGGUUGUAAACUGCUUUUAUGCGGGGAUAAAGUGCAGCACGUGUGCUGUUUUGUAGGUACCGCAUGAAUAAGGACCGGCUAAUUCCGUGCCAGCAGCCACGGUAAU